CAUUAAUGAAUGAACUUGGCUUGGUUGUUGCUGGUCUCUUCGGAGGCAUGUGCACACCUUGUCAUCUUUAUAUCUCCACCUGUGCACCUUUUGUAGACCUGGAUUCAACUUUCCGAGGCAACUCGGUCGUGAGGAAUUGCUUAAUGGCUUUCCUUGAAAGUCUCCAGGCCUAUGUUUUCAUAUACACCAUAAGAAUGUAACAGAAUGUCAUUAUUAGACUUAUGUCUUAUAAACUAUAUACAACUUUCAGCAACGGAUCUCUUGGCUCUCGCAUCGAUGAAGAACGCAGCGAAAUGCGAUAAGUAAUGUGAAUUGCAGAAUUCAGUGAAUCAUCGAAUCUUUGAACGCACCUUGCGCUCCUUGGUAUUCCGAGGAGCAUGCCUGUUUGAGUGUCAUUAAAUUCUCAACCUUUAUCAACUUUUUAAGUAGAUAAAUGGCUUGGAUGUGGGGGUUGCCGGUUUCUCUUUUGAAAUCAGCUCUCCUGAAAUAUAUUAGCUGGUUGCCUUGUGUAAACCUGUCUAUUGGUGUGAUAAUUAUCUACGCCGUGGACUAUUUACCGUUUUUAAGCACUGCUUCUAACCGUCUGUUCAUUCGGACAAUCUAUGACAAUUUGACCU
RNAcentral lists this ribosomal RNA (617 nucleotides) under Stropharia hornemannii. RNAcentral's name for it is "eukaryotic LSU rRNA". The stretch from base 242 to 395 matches the Rfam family "5.8S ribosomal RNA". Lineage: Eukaryota; Fungi; Basidiomycota; Agaricomycetes; Agaricales; Strophariaceae. The record is from RNAcentral.